Molecule: long non-coding RNA, 1425 nt
Organism: Oxyura jamaicensis (ruddy duck)
Lineage: Eukaryota; Metazoa; Chordata; Aves; Anseriformes; Anatidae
Exons: 2
Source: RefSeq, a predicted model, not a curated record
UGGUAUUUGAGUGAUCGGAAAUAUAAUGAAAACUUGUGUGCGUUGCUUUUAUUGGUAGAGACUGGUUUUGUAGAUGCAUCUUACUGUUGAAGAACAGUCAUCCGAGCUAAUCUUUAUUAUACUUGUUUUAAUUAAAGUAAUUAUUGUAGAUGAUUUGAUAAGCAAUGGAAAUCAUAUGCUAAUGUUAAAACAAGGUAGUAAUUUGGAGACAAGCUGAAAAGAGUGAACCUAGCAAACUAAUCGUUUGAGUGGUGACGUGUGCAUGUCAACAAAAAGCUGGGAUUCAACGAAUUAACUUUCGUUGUGAUGAGGAAAGUUCACUUCUGGCUGUUAACCUAUCAAAACUUUCAUCUGGCUGCAACACCCAGUCAGUUUUCUAAGGCUUUUGUCAUAGAGCAAAAGAGCCAGGCUGCUCCACAAGGGAGGACGAGCGAGAAGCUGAGGUUGACCACAGCACAGGCAGGGGCGUUAUCCUGCGCCCACAGGGUGCAGUCCUGCAGCACCUCACCUGGAUGAACCAUGGUGAUAGGAACAUGUUCUUCAACAGUCCAUCAGUCACAGAUAAAGGCAAGGAGCAGCCAAAAUCAGCCUAGAAAUCCAAAUGAAACUGCAAGGACAGCAGGAAAAAGGCAUGCCUAUGGCAAAGCUCAAGCAAGGAGUGGGUACGCAUACCUGAGCUUAAAUGGAGCUUCUGGAUCAAUGCACAGAGCAUCAGAAAAGAACUUAAGAGAGCUGUCCAAAUAAUGCAUCAGGUCUGUGUAGAUGAAAUCUCAAGAAGAAUAGAGCUCUGCAUGAUUAUGAAUGAAGGUAGACCUAAAAUUACCACUGUCUGUAAGGUGGUACUGCUGUCUUACAAGAGAAAUGCAUGCUUAGAAGAAUGAGAUAAUUUGGGGAAUGCAGUCAGCUGACAGACAAGUUCGCUACUAUAAAAAACAGCAGAAUUUCACUUCAGGAAAAUGACCAUAGAACUUUCCAGUGUUUUGCUGAAAUACAUUGGCUUACAAAAGGAAUUGCCACGCUGAAGCUGGCAAAGGCAAAAAAGGAAGAUGUACAAGUGAGCAGGGAAAGAAAGAGAAGGCAGAAGAAUGAGAAGUAUGAGAAGUAGGUUCAUGAAAUUAACCUAUCCAGGACACCCUUUUUAGUCCUAUUUUCAGUUCCUGUUUUAGGGGGCUUAGAACUGAAAGAGAGAAGUGUGGUAAAGGUAGUGUUUGGAGAAGUAGGCAGAGCCAAAGAAGUGUACCUCGUGAGGAGAGAAAAGCUUUGCCCGUGCGUACUGCUUUUCCAUCAUCAGCAUGUGACAGAUUCUUGUGUAGAUGAUCUUCAGUUGUAAUUCUUGAUGACUUUUUCUACUUUUUAGGUUUGAGUUGAAACUAUUUCUCGCUGACUGAAGUAGGAUUAAUAAAGAGAAUUAAAAGGGAAAAUUAU